UCUCUCCCUCGUGAAUAUCUCUCUCUUCGACGCAAUCGUCUUUCUCCCUCAACGGUGGCUGUUCAUCCAAGCUUAACUCCAUCGUUGACAUCCACGAGGUUCAAAUGGCAUCCGAUGCUGCCAUUGUCACUUGGGGCUCGGGUGAAGAUGGACAAUUGGGAAUCGGGAACAACGAGGAGAUGGAGUGGGUUCCGAAUGUGACAAACCUUUUGGGGCUGACAAACCUUUUGGAACGGCUCCGAAUGUGAACUCGAGUGUUCCUGGUACAGGACAUGCCAUACAGGGUGGGUAUGCGAAUCAGGCAAGUAUAAGCCCUGGAAUGAUGGGAAGCUAUGGAAAUCAAGGUGCAAUGCAAGGUGGCUACCCGAACCCGCAGAUAGGGCAAGGUUGUUCAGGAAGAGGGCAGCAUGGUGUUGGGCAAUCUGGUGGCGCUCCUUACUUGGGGCAUUAGGUGCCCCUGAGAUCCCAAAUAGGUGCAUUAGUGUUUUUGUACUGGUCUGGUGAUUCUUCUGAAGUUUACAAGGAGCUGAUGGUUACUACAAAGAGCAGAAUCUUAAAACUGUCAAAUGAAAUUUCUGUUUUCCUUCCCUUUUCUGUCUUUUUCUUCUUCAAAGUACUGUAGUUUUUUUAAUUUUAUUUGUUUGAAAGCUCAAGAGUUUGAGAAAUUCUCUUAUAAACCUAUCUGUGUUUUAUGGAGUCGCAAGGUUGAACAAAAAUACUUUUUAAAUUCCC
Non-coding RNA from Prunus mume (Japanese apricot), 732 nucleotides. The record is from RefSeq and is a predicted model, not a curated record. Lineage: Eukaryota; Viridiplantae; Streptophyta; Magnoliopsida; Rosales; Rosaceae.